CCUACGGGAGGCAGCAGUGAGGAAUAUUGGUCAAUGGACGCAAGUCUGAACCAGCCAAGCAGCGUGAAGGAAGACGGCGCUACGAGUGGUAAAAUGCUGUUGUAAGGGGGUAAACGGAGAUACGUGUACCUGUCUGAAAGUACCGUACGAAUAAGGAUCGGCUAACUCCGUGCCAGCAGCCGCGGUAAUACGGAGGAUCCAAGCGUUAUCCGGAUUUAUUGGGUUUAAAGGGUGCGUAGGCGGUCGGUUAAGUUAGAGGUGAAAUCCCGCGGCUCAACUUCGGAAUUGCCUGUGAUACUGUUCGGCUAGAGUGUAGUUGCGGUAGGCGGAAU
Molecule: ribosomal RNA, 332 nt
Filed under: uncultured bacterium
Lineage: Bacteria
Description: partial 16S ribosomal RNA
Rfam family: Bacterial small subunit ribosomal RNA
Source: RNAcentral